UUUUUAUUAUUUUUUAAGUUUUUGUUUAAGUUCCAGUUACUUAGCACAGAGUGUAAUAUUAGUUUCAGACAGAGUAUAGUGACUUAAUAUAACACUUCCACAACAGGUGCACACUUUAAACCCCAUCACCCUUCAUCCAUCCCCCAUUCAUCUCCCCUCUGGUAACCAUCAGUUUGUUUUUUGUAGUUAAGAGGCUGUUUCUUGGUUUGCCUCUCUCUCUCUCUUUUGCCUUUAUUCAUUUGUUUUGUUUCUUACAUUCCACAUUAUUAUUUUAAACUAGACCCCAAAAGAGUUAUCUAAGACAGUUUAAAAUACAUAUAUUGAAAAGAUACAGGAAAUGUCUUUUCAGCUUUCAAUUAAUUAUUUAUUCUUAUACCAACUUUGGUAUCUGGUUAGAAAACCAUGAAAUUUUAGCUAGUUAUUAAUUUGUGGAAUUGAGAUAGAAUUUUAUAUGAUAACUACAACCAAGAAUUAAGUUUAUAAUUGAUUUUAGUUAUAGAUGGGACAUUUUACUUAGUCCUAUUUGUGAUUUGAUUCAAUGGUGAAAUUCAGACAUAAUGUAUGGUACAUCAUCUUCCAUCAUAAAGUUUUCCUUUUCAUUAUCUUAAAAUUAGCUGUAAAAUAAUUCAAAAAAGGAACAAAAACAACAAUCUGGAGACGUUCUUAUACUGAAAGAUGCCCUGAACCACUGCUGGGUAAGAUUUAGAAUGCUGCUUUGAAUAUGAGAAGGUUCAUUUAUCCAGAACUUUUUCUUGCUUGAAGCCUUCUUCUGCUCUACCCAAAUAGAACUGUCUUCUCUUUCUCAUACCUCCACCUGAUCUUUUGCAUGUGGUGGAGGAGAGAGGAAACACUGUUAUUUACACAAAUAUCUUUCACUUUUCACAAGGUGCAAUUUUAUUUCCUAGAAAAUUGAGCAAUGCCUCAAAUCAUUUUUUAAUUGACUUCUGUUGCCACUUCUUUCUAGGUUUCAGUUAGUGUGUAAAGAGAGUAAGAAAAAAAAUUCAACUCAAUAGAGUUAAAUUGGGGCUAGGUAGUAAUUUAAGAUUAAGAACUAUUUUAUAAACAUGAGAAUAUUCCAAAUAUGGAGUGAUAGGCAUUCUAAAAACAUUGUUGGUGGAAGUGCUAACUAGAACCAUCACUGUAGAGAGGAAUUUGGCACUAAAACCAAAAUUUUAAAUGCACAUUCUCAAUGACCUUCUCAAUUUUACUUCUAGAUCUACGUAUACUUAUGUAAAAAUCCCUAUAUAAGGAUUUUUUAUUUCACAUUUUCCUUGCAUAUAAAAAUUAAUUGAAAAAAAUUAAGGAAAAAAUUAUUUAUAUAAAUUGCUUUAUCAUUAAAUAGUCUAGUGUUCAAAAAAAUUUUUAAAGAUUUUAUUUAUUUAUUCAUGAGAGACACAGAGACAGAGAGAGACAGAGGCAGAGAUAGAGGCAGAGGGAGAAGCAGGCUCCAUGCAUGGAGCUUUAUGUGGGACUCAAUCCCGGGACUCCAGGAUCAUGCCAUGGACUGAAGGCAGGUGCUAAAUCACUGAGCCACCGAGGGAUCCCCUCUAGUAUUCAAAAUGUAUAUACAUUUUUGAAUUAUUAUGUAGACACCCAAAAUUAUUUUAAGAAAAAAAGAUACAUUUUAUUUUUUUAAGAUUUUGCUUAUUUAUUCCUAAGAGACAUAAGGAGAGGCAGAGACAUGGCAGAGAGAAGCAGGCCCCAUGCAGGAAGCCUGAUGCGGGUUCAAUCCUGGAUGAGCCUAAGGCAGAUGAUCAAACUGCUGAGCCACCCAGGCAUCCCAAAAGGUAAAUUUUCUACAAGGAUUCAUGUAUAAAAGCCUGUUGAUGAUGGCUACUUGUGAAGGGUAAAACUAGAAGAAAUUUUAGGGCAGAUAGUCAGCUUUCAUUAAGCUAUUUUUAUACUGCUCAUUGUCAAGUCAGUGUCAGGAUAAAAAAACAGAUGAUGACAACAGUAUUCAUUUGAUCAAAACUCUGACUUGUGCUAGCUGUUUUGUCAUGCAGUUAUCAGGCUGACAAAACUCCAACAGAGCAGAUCAUUCAUAAUCUCACAAAAAGUAUCUCAGGAUUACCUUAAAAGUAAUUCUUACCAUUUCAUUCUUUACCAAUCAAGGGUUGGGAAGAAAAUUACAAUUAUCAUUUGUUAUUAAAGUUAUUCCUCUACAAAAAAAAAAAAUAUUCUUUAAAUUACUCCUUAAAACAAUGUAUUAUUUUUUAGGAGAAACCUAGGAGAAAAAAAAACUAGACAACCAUAUACAUUUGUUAUUUGAGUUUUUUUUUCUUCAUGAGAAAACUUAAAUUAUCCUAAUGUGUUUGAAAUAAAAGACCUAAAGAAACUAAUAAUAAAGUAAUUUCUUUAUAUAAAAAAAGAAAUUGAACUCCACCAUCUGCCUAAACAUUAAAGACAAACACUUAACCAAAUAGAGAUUAGAUUUACAAAAGGUAGUUAAUCUGAAAAUAAAUCAAGAUAGUUUUUUGUUUAUUUAUUUAUUUUAGAUUUUAUUUACUUAUUUGAGAGACAGAGAGCAAGAGCAUGGGUGAGAGGGAAAGGGAGAGAGAAUCUGAAGUAGACACUGCACUGAGUACUCUGCAAUUCCAUCCCACAACAGAGAUCAUGACCUGAGGUGAAACCAAGAGUCAGACACAUAAUUGACUGAGCCACCCAGGUGCCUCAAAAUAGUUUUCUUAACUUUAAAAUAUCUAUUGAAGUUCUCAUAUGUAGGAGAUAUUUCAUGCAGGAUAUCUAAAGAAGAGAAGUAAUGAGAAUGAAAACACUACCAUUUCUCUCUCCUAAAUUAAUAUUUAUCAAGGCAACUAUAUAUUUUUGAAUAAAUGGCAUUUCAAUAUUCAAUCUGGCAAAAUCAACCAUGCAUUUAUAUCUAAAGCCUAUUAUCUUCUAAGACAAACACAUGCAGAAAAGAUAAAAAGACAUCUUUGUUUCAGAUGAAAUAGCAACCCUGUUCAUUUAUUUAAGUAUCUCAUUUAUUUAAGUAAACACUUCCUUAUAGAACAGUGUAAAAUCCCUUUCUGUCAGCUCCCUCUCCUGUCAGCUUUGUGGCUUUCUCAACCUUCCUUUUUUCCUCAACAACCAGUAUAGUCUUAUCACAUUUGUUUUGAAAAAGACUAUUUUUUAUGAG
Molecule: long non-coding RNA, 3136 nt
Filed under: Canis lupus familiaris (dog)
Lineage: Eukaryota; Metazoa; Chordata; Mammalia; Carnivora; Canidae
Description: lncRNA (ENSCAFG00000053072.1)
Source: RNAcentral